GGGCGUGUGGUCUAGUGGUAUGAUUCUCGCUUUGGGUUCCUUUAAGAGUCUAAGCGUGCGAGAGGCCCUGGGUUCAAUUCCCAGCUCGCCCC
Molecule: non-coding RNA, 92 nt
Organism: Arxiozyma heterogenica
Lineage: Eukaryota; Fungi; Ascomycota; Saccharomycetes; Saccharomycetales; Saccharomycetaceae
Source: the annotation of a RefSeq genome assembly